CCCACCUCCCCGCUGUCUGCCCCCGUUUCUUUGCUCGUUUUCCCCAGGCUGGUCUUCCUUUCAGAACUUGAGAAGCAUUUUUGCCUUCCCGCUUGCUGCUGUGCUCGCUUCGAAUGUGUGCUCUCCUCCUCCCUCUUUACUUUUCCCCAAGGCCCUGGAGUUGCUUUCUUUGGAGACAGCCUCUACCCACUCUUUCUUUCCAGCGCGGGGGCCAGCUGGCCCCCGAAAUCAAUCAGGGGCCCAUCAGAGACCGGGCUGGCCGCUGUCACUCCCGCCGUGGAAUUUAGGUAAGUUCCCCGGAGGCCCUUUAGAGCAAACGUGUCCAGAGUCGGCUCUGCCUCACGGAAUCCUCCCAUUUCCUGACGCCUCAAGGAUGUCUUUAUCUGCUAAGCCAUCGAGUUUCUACUGGAGGAGCGUGGACUCUCUUUGUGUUCCUUCCCUCUCUCCUGUGUCUUUUUUCUUUUUUAAAACGGGCUGCCUGGUCUCCCAGGAGGCUGUCAAUAGGCUUCGCCCACUCUGCCCUCUCCGCAGCUCUCUCUUGUCCAUUUUUAAAGUUUCCCUUUUCAGCACCGAUUUCAGCCAGCCUCCCACGCCCUGAGCCUUCCUGGGGCGGCGUGCCCUGUACUGCCCGGUUUAGGUGCUGGAGGAGUUUAAGAGAACUUUCAGUCCGGGAAUUCCAAACCUUUGUGUGUUUUCCUUGGGGUCCAUCCCAGCACUUCUGGGGAAGCUGGGAUGCUCCAAAGUCUCAUGCAAAGUGUCAAGGGUCUGGCCACUAAAGGGGUAGCGGACGAGGGACCCCACAGAUUCCCAUUUUGUUCCCAGGAGGCUCCCCUGGCCCAGCCCCUCGUUUCACAGAUCCGCAAAUGCAGUCCUGUGGAGCUAAUGGGUGUGAGCUGGGAGCCCCACUUGGGGCCUCUCUUAUUUGUGCUCUGCCGUAUCUGCGUGGAUCUUUCUGCCCCUUGAGGCUUCCCUCAACACUCCUCCUCCGUCCCGGGUUUUCCCUUUGGAUUCUUGCUUUCCCGCAUGGGCACACACAUCACGUACCCCCUUAUGCUUCCACAGGACUGGGGGCUCGCUGCAUAACUGGUGGGGCCCACGGCAAAAUCGAAAAAGUGGGUCCCAGCAGAGGGUGGGAACGCGAUUGCGAGUUUGGUGCGGGGCACCUGCCUGGGUCCCUGCAUGGGGGAUGCGUGGGAGGUCCAUGUUCAAGUGUGCAUUGAAUCAGCCGUGGAGCUGCAAACCCGGGAGGCCGCCAUACCUCACCCCGCAUGACACACUGUGGGGCACACGCUGACCCUAACCCUCCCUGCACCUGAACCCAGGCCAGGGCAGGUUAGCAGUGGAACAUGGCCCACCAUGGCGCCAGGCAAAGGGCGGCCGCCGAGGUGGAGGGGGUGGGGGAGGAGAGAGGAGGCCAUCCGGGGCCUGGGAAUCAGGAUUCAGACUGCAGGCUGUGGCCACCCCAGCCCAGAGAGGCAAUGGGGGGUGGACGCCACGUGAACAGAGGCUCCAGGCCUCCUGCACAUGCUCCUUGGUCCCACUGGACUUGACUUACACGACCAAAGAUGGAAGUGUUAGGAAGCUCCAGAUGGCAACAACUGAACAUCAAACGGAGUGUGGACCCUCCUGCAUGGGUCACGUGCCCAUGAAGUGUCCUGACAGCCUGGGACAGUUUUCAAAGCACGUUCACAUCCUUGCCUUUGUUCUGACCUCUAGAUAGCCCUUUGACUCAAACCGAUUGGGUGUCUUAAGCCUUAUUUUACAGGCAAAGACAAGACUCCACCAGGCAUAGCUUACAUACGUGAGUUCUGGAGUCAGACAGCUCAAAUAUGGGCUGGGCCUCAGAGGGGUGAAGGUUCUUCUUCAGGGUUGUUAUGGGAUCACAACAAAUAAUGUAUGGAACACGUUCCCUGGUGCCAGAUGCAGUCAGAAUGCUCCAUAAAUGGAGAUGUUAGUGUGCCCAGCGGAUGUAUCUGGCUUUUCCCAAAAUUCUAUUCAUGAACACUGUCACCAGUUUUCAGUUUUUACAUCUUAUCUGUACCAUUAUUGGCUUAAUAUUUUUUAAAUUUAAAUCUAUCUACUUCUUUUACACUUCCAGUGUUAUUUAAUUUAAUUUUAUUUCAAGUGGUUUUUUAAAUUUAUUUUUGAGAGAGACAGCGCAAGUGGGGCAGGAGCGGAGAGAGAGGGGGACAGAGGAUCUGAAGGGGGCUCUGUGCUGACAGCAGAUGUGGGGCUUGAAUUCACGAACCGUGAGAUCACGACCUGAGCCGAAGUCGGACGCUCAACUGACUGAGCCACCCAGACGCCCCUCCCAUUUUGUUUUAUAGGGUAACUUCAUUUUACUGUCGAGAAUGAAAGACCAGCAUCACUCAUCUUAAAUAGAAAGGUAAAGUAAAUUCGUGGAAAACAACAAUGGUAUGAAAAUCUGGCCAGAUACUUUUGCUUGCUGAACACUCUGAGCUUGUACCUAUUCUUUGUCAAAGAGGGAAAUUAGCAAGGAUUAAAGACUCAGCCUCGCCCUGAGAUUUCUCUUUGACUUCAUCUGCAGGAAAUCAUUUUGUCACUAUCCUAUUCAAUGUUACCCUGUGUCCAGCUGGUGCCUGUACCAUGACCACGAACUCUUGUGCGUUUCUUCACCUGCCGCGCUUUGGGAGAGCCUCGACACGAGGUUAGGACGCAGUGGAGCUAAGUUUCACAAAACGUGUAGCAUGACUGCAAAAAACUAGAAACCCACACAAAGCAGCUCCAAAUGGUUUUCAAGGACACAUGGACUGAAAGAAUUCACAUUGGCUCCUUAAUAGUGAUCACCUCUGAGGAAGGGAAGAGGAAAGCGUUGUUGGCAAAGGGACUUGCACCAGAAUCCCAACAUUUUAAUUGUUUUACCAAAAAAUGCUUGAAAUAGGGAAAUACUUUUACAGUUGUUAAUUCUGCAUCAUGAGGGUGUGAUUAUGUAGCGUUCUUCAGACUUUUACGUGUUUUUGAGUUUUCUUAAAUGUAAAAGACAAUAAAAGGGAAAAGGAAGAAAAGAAGCUCAAUCAGGCAAAAUGCUCCCAGAUGCGGAUGCAGGGAAGGAUCAAAAUGCUUUGGUAAAUCAGGGACUGUAUCAGUUUGCUACAGCUGCUGUAAUAAAUACCAUUGACUGCGUGGCUUAACCAAUAGAAAUUUAUUGUCUCACAGUUGUGGAGGCUGGAAGUCCAAGAUCAAGGUGCCAAAAGGUCUGGUUUCCUCUGAGGCCACGCUCCUUGGUUUGCAGGUCGCCGCUGCCUCCCUGUGUCCUCGCACGGUCUUCCCUCUGUGCAUGCCUGUGUCUUAAUUUCCUCUUAUAAGGACACCAGUCAGACUGGAUUCGAGCCCACCCAAAUGAUCUCAUUUUCCCAUAACUACUUCUCCAAAGACCCUAUCUUUAAAUGUAGUCAUAUCCUGAAGUAUUGGGGGUUAGCACUUCAACAUAUGAAUUUGGGGGGCACAGUUCAGCCCAUAACUCUUUAAUUAAUGACCCCUGCUGACCUACUUCAUUAUACAGGAGUUUCUUGUCACCUCCCUUUACUGAUUCUAUCGACCUUCCCUCUUCUUCCCAAUGUCCUGGACAUCCAGGCAGGGUUUCCUGAUUGCCCCACUGCUCGCUCCUUUUUGAUCCUUCCUGGAAUCAAUUCCUGCUCCCUCCAGCCAGCCUACAGAGUUCCAUCUGUCCUCCUUACCCCAGCUUAGCCCAUCUCUCUCUCUCUCUUUUUUUAAUGUUUAUUUAUUGUUUGAGAGAGAGCGGUGGAGAGGCAGAGAGAGAGGGAGACACAGAAUCUGAAGCAGGCUCCAGGACUCUGAGCUUUCAGCACAGAGCAUGACACGGGGCUCGAACCCACGGACCACAAGGUCAUGACCUGAGCGGAAGUUGGCUUAACCAACUGCACCAUGUGGGCGCCUCUAGCCCUGCCCAUCUCUUUGAGUUCACUCCUGUCUUUGGAUUCUCCACUCAGGAGCCCGAUGGCACAGCCUCCACCCAGGUUGAAUCUCUGCAGCUUCAUGAGCCCAAACUACCUGCUCAUUGACUGCACAUGCGACACAUUUCUCCCGCCUCCCAUCUGCACACAAAAUGCCUACGUCAUCUAUCUUGUCUCCUUUCUUGAGAUGCUUCCAAUGGGGCUGUCGGUGGCAUUCACCUGCCCUGUCUCCCUGUGGUUCUUACCGUUUUGAGCUCACAGACUGUAUCAGUCAGCAUCCAGUCAAGGGAGCAGGAACAUCUCUAGACACUUAGCCAGAUUAGGAACAUACUACAGGGAAUUGUUCACAUGAGGGACGAGAGAGGAGAAGCCAGGCGGGGCGUGGUGAAGGACAGGAACAUGGCGGCCCAUGUGAACAAGGGCGACACGCUAGUGACGGUGGAAAGAUAGCAGGACAGAAAGAACCUAGUCCCGCCAUUCCCCGGAGCUGCUCUCUAGCUCUACACCGUGUGAACCCAGCCUGUUAAGUGGAAAGAAAUAACUCCUGUUGCUUGCUUGGAGUCUCUGUUAGAGCUGCUUAGCUCAGACCCAGGAAAUGCAUCUCUUUUUACGUUGCCUGUUUGAGGGAAGUCUGCAGAGACAGGCUCUCUCCCUUCCCCGGGGAGACAGAGCUGGGGCCUUGUUCUUGCCGCCUGAAAUGCCUUUAAAGGCCUUAAGGGCGCUCGUGAUACAAAUGCUGCAGCCUGGGUGACCAGCUGUCUCUGUUUGCCCAGGAACAAGAGGCUUCAUGCAUGUAGAACUUGCACUGCUUAAAUGGGGAGAGUCCCUGGCAAACCAGGAUGGGCCUGUCACCCUCCCUUCUUGUGCCUGUAGCAAGCAUCUACUUCCUCAGACAGAAAAUCACCUGCCAGGGUCUCAACCCCGACCUCUCUUCCUGGGUCCAGGGUCAGACCACAGCCAUUCUUGGUGAGUCUGGUUGCCUCCCGGUGCCUCUUUGAACGAGACAUGGCGAGUUCUUCCGUGACCCCUGCUUCAUUCCCGACGAGAAUAAACACCAUCUCCAGCCUCGACCUGCUGAACAGAAUCACCACAGAGUUCCUCCAGCAGCCCUGACCCUCUGCACCCGAGAUAUUUUCCAAGAUAAAUGCAAUUUCUCUGGAUCUGAGGCGCGUGUCACAUUCCCUGCUUCUAGGAAUCUGCCUGCCCACAAACGCGGGUCUCUGGUCUCAUCCAAGUAGACGACAAGAGACAACGGGGUUCUCCCACCACACAGUCCUUGCUCAAUCGCUGUUUUCCUCCUCUCCGAAGGUAGCCUCUAGGCGAGGUUGUACCCAUCAGCACGCUCCUUCUGUCAUCCUGCUUUCAUCUGGGGCACAGCUUGCUGGAUUGGAGCAGUAGACUGAGCUCAGGCCUCUGUGUUUGGAAACAUGCCUCUGCCUCUGUUCUCCCUAUCAUGUCGGGCAAGUGGCCUCACCUUGCAGAGCCUCAGUUUCCCCACCUGUAUAAUGGAAUGGUAUGGUAGGCUGAAAAAUGGCCCCGGAAACAUAUCAUUAUCCUAAUUCCUGGAAUUUACGAAUGUUACCUUAUUUGGAAAAAAAGAGUCUUUGCAGAUGUGAUUAAGGACCUUCAAAUGGGGAGAUUAUCCUGGAUUAGGUGAGUGGGCCCUAAAUGCUAUGACAGAUGCCCUUAAAAGAUGGAGGUAGAGGGAAACUACACGGACAAAAGAGGAGGGAGCAGUGUGACCAAGGAGGUGAAGAUUAGUGAUGCUUCCACAAGCCCAGGAAUACUGGCUGCCACCAGAAUCUGAGAGAGACAAGGAGCAGAUUCUCCCUUUGGGCCUCCGAGGGAGCACAUCUCUGCUGUUUUGGCCUGACCUGUGCCCUCUCAGAACCCAUAUGCUGAAGUCUUAACCCCCAGUACCUCAGGAUACAGCCACAUUUAGAAAUAAGGCUUGUAAAGAGGUGGUUGAGUUAAAACGAGGCUGUUAGGAUGGGGCCCCAAUAGGACUGCUGUCCAUAUGAGGUACACAUGUGUGCCCAGAGGGAGGACCGCUGAAGACACAGUGAGAAGGCGGCCAUCUGCAAGUCAAGAAGAGAGGCCUCAGCAGAAACCAACCUGGCCGGCAUAUUGUUCUUAAACUUCCAGCUUCCGAACUGUGAGAAAGUACACUGCUGUUGGUUAAGCCACUUAGCAUGUGGUACUUUAUCAUGGCAGGCCCCGGGAAUUAAUGCGGGUGGUGAUACCUAACCCAGGCUCGUUCUAAGAUCGAGAUGAUCACAAGGGUGCCUGCUGGGCUGUGGAUGAGUACUUUCUACAUUUUAGUGGUGUCUGAAUUCUCCUUUCGUGGAGACUUUUCUACACCCAAGCAGAAGUAAAAUAACAACUACAACAAUCACAAAAAAUGAUACACCAGCCAUAGUGACUGUUUUCUUUUGGUCUUCUCUACUCCCUGACCACCCUUCCUGUGUGUGUGUGUGUGGGUGUGGGUGUGGGUGUGCACAUGCACACCUAUUUCCCACCUUAAUAUUCCAUCUUCCUUCAGUGAACUGCAUCAUCUAUUGGGGCUCCAUGAACAGCAUCAAUUUCCUGUUUAUAGAUCUGUCCCAUCACCACUUACUAGUUGUGAGGAUCGCAAACAUUUAUGGGAUGCUCAUUUUAUAUGUAGCCAGGAAUUGUGCUUUUUCUAAAUUGUGUCAUUUAAUGCUCUGAGUAUCCCUUCAAUGUGGGUACUAUUAUUAUUCCAACUCGACAGAUAGAGAGACAGACAGAGUUUGACCAAGGAAGCGGCACAGCUGGGAGGCAAGCCCAGGUAGCUGGCGCCCAGGCCCACACCCUCACCUCCUCUUAAAUCUCCCGAGGGCAGGAAUCCACCCUGCCUUAGUCAACCUUUACUCUCUACCAUGUGCUUGGCACAGAGUUUGGAUUCAACAAAGGCCGGCUGGAUGAACAAGUGAAUGACACUUUCCACAUGCCAAAGAAAGUCAAGAAGAUGUUCUCCAGAACUCUGCUCGGUCUAGCAUCUCUUUAUCUUGACUCUGCUGCUGUUACUGCUACAGCGGUCCGACCACGGACAGUCCUACACGGCCCACGUCCAUCACACGCCUGUCACACUCUCUGCCCUCAGCCUUUUUGACCAUGGAGCUGAGACAUUGUGAGUGGACGCAGCAGCCCCCGCUGCCCUCUCCAUCCACUCCAUCCACUCAGCAGUGGCCUUGUCUCCCCCCAUGGCCACUACUCAUCCGUGUGGAUGGGAGAGACUGGAAUUCUCAGAAGUCUAGUGAGAGAGGUCUAGAUUCCACAAGAAUCUGGAAACUGCACAGGGCCAUGGUAACGCCACUCAUGUUUGCUCUUCCAACUUGCAGAAGAGAAAACUGAGGUCCAGGGGUAUUAAAUCCUUGCCCAAAGCCACAGAAGACUGGGUGUCAUGUUUGACUUCCACUCAGGCCUCUUUCCAAUAUACCAAGUCAGUACAAAAGUGGCCCAGUCUAGCAGAGAGAAGAAGAUUGGGCUCAGAGCCUGGUUUCAAUUCUUACCAACCAUGUGUGGUUAGGUAUGUUAUGUAAAUUCCCUAAGCUUGGGUCCCUUGGCCCACACAGUGAAGACAAGGCUAUUUGCUUGCUGCCAUUAGAACUACUGCUGGCCACAGAAGUCACCUGGCCAGACUCCUGCAUGCAGAUCGCAGACAGAAUAUUGAACUACAUACUUCAGGAACUGACCAGUCCAGACCUUGACCUGUCUCAUUCCACCUGCCAGUCAAGGCCCUUUUGGGGAGCAGGCUGCUUUCCUAUUAAUAACGGGGAAGGGACUCAGAAAACCUUGAUUCUCUAUCACUAGCAGCUCCAUCUGUCUCCAGACCAGGAUCAGGAAAAAGGAGGGAAAAAUGGUAGCUCGCCUGAAUAAUCCCAUCCCUGAGUAACCUCAUAACAUCUCUUUGGAGUCAGGAAAAUAUUUACCUGGCAAUGACAUUCUAACUUAUUCAGUUGUCCCUCCUUCGUAAUGAAUGCCUAAUCACUAUGGAAAAUAAUCUCUUCUAAACUAUGUAUUUCAUAACAUAACCCAUACCAGAAAUGUGUUCCCACGUCUCUUUUCUUCUAAAUAUUUUAAAACACAUUUGAAUGUAAACACACGCACACACACACACACACACACACACACAACGAUGUUCUAUUUUUCUUAAAUAGAAAUCUGCAAUAAUGUUUUCAUUGAACAUAAAAGAGGCCAGCCCUGAUGUCAUCAUUGUAAACUCCUAGAGCAGGGUUUCUCAACAGCCCCGCUAUUGACAUUUUGGACCAGAUAAUUCUUUGUUGUGAGGCUGUCCCGUGCGGCAUCGGGUAUUUAGAAGCAUCCCUGACUUCUACCCAGUAGAUGCCAAUAGCACCUCUCUUCCAUCAUGACAGUGCAAAAUGCUCCAAACAUUGACAAGCAUCCCCUGGGUGGGGGGAAGGAGGGGAGAUGCAAAAUCAUCCCCUGUUAAGAACCACUGUCCUAGAGAAAGAGACGAGGCCUGUAAGACUCUCUUUGCCCUGCCCCACCUGAAUUUAAGUUCUCUAUAGAAGUGCUUUUGACAACACUGAUGAAUUAAAUGUAAGGGUAGGAGUUGAGUGAGCAGGGAAGAAAAUACAUCCUUCGAAUAUACAAAAUGCACUAGGCACUAUGAAGGAAUAGUAAUACAAUCACAAACUACGCCACGAUUGUACAUAUCAGCCCCCUAUCCUUCUGUCUCUUGGACUGAAGAUGGGCCAUCAGUUGAUGAACAUCUCAGAAAGUCUUCAUGGUCUUUAUCUGUUUCCUUUCGUUGGUCCUUAGGAGGUAGGAUGUGUUAGAACAAUUAUAUUCUGAAUUUCUUUGAACAGAAAUUAGAGAUGAAAUGGAGAAGAACCAAAAGGAAGCACAAAAAGACCAACAGUGAAGAACCCCGGGCUUAGCAACGAUGGGGAAGCAGUGACACACUGUUAGGGGAGAGAGUGUUGUUGCCAAAGCCCAGCCAGAGGCCAGACAAAGGCUUAAGUACUGGAGGAAGGGCUGUCUGACGAGAGGACUGCAAGGCAGGGAUGGGGCAGGGCAAUAAACUCCCCAUGUGUCUUUCUCUUUUCCUGCUUUCUAAUAUCUAAUCAGUACCUCCAUUGGUGAAACCCAAACAGAAGGCCAGGGCAAAGGAGCCCGGAUGAUGGCGUGCAUAGAGGUCAGCCCCCCAAAGUCUUGGAGAAGGGCAGAUGAUGCAUCUAGUGAGUGAUAGGGGCAAAUGGAGAAUCAUCAGCCACACAAGAUAUGUUCAGAGAAGAGUUUGUCAGUCUGAACUCUUUCCAAGAGAGAGUCCAAACACAAAAAUUUCUCUGAGUCUCAGUAUUCCUGACUGUGAAAUGGGCAAUGCCUGUGUCAUGAGGUGGUAAUGAGGAUUCUACGAUAUGCCAUACGGAGGGACCAAGCACAGGGCCUGGUACAUUCUGGAGGUUCCAUGUAUGUCAGUUACUUUCACCUUUCCUGUACCUAAAUGGCCCUGGACCAGAUUACUUUUCCUGGUCUGGUGCUCCAAGUGACCUCUGUGCCUCUUUCCCCUUCUCAGUUCAUUCACCCAUUCAUUUAUUCAGUAAGUAUACAUUCACUGAGCAUCAGAUAUGAUCACUGCACGUACCAGAGUGGAGAGUGCAGAUGUAUGUGGCCCUUGCCUCUGUCCCUUCUUUCCUCACAGACCCGUCCCCAUCUCUUUGAUCGGGGCCCCUGGUUCCUCAUUCCCGACUCUCAUUGCUUUUAUUUCUUCAACAUGUACCUAGUGCCUACCUCUGACAAAAUCGUGAGGACGGCGGUAGGAAGAAAGAGCCCUUGUUUUUACCUGAGGAAGCUACUUAACUUUUCCAGGGAUGCUGAGCCCAACGAGCAGAAGGCAGAAAAGUGGUUGGCUUCAUUUUGACCAUGAGUCCCUGCCAGAAUCAGUUACACAACCACGCAUGCAAGAGAAAAGGGUCCACCAAGAGAGUCAGAGGUGGAAAGACACGGAGAGGGCCCAGAGGCUUUCUGAAACGUCUGUCGUCAGAUUGCCCCAGGCUUGGAGGCAGGAGGGUGUCCAGAGAGGACCACGUCCAGAGAAACUCUGGACGUGGUCUCAUUCUCAGCCUUUCAUGUUCUGCUUAUUGCCUUGCAACUCUAAUCAUCUGUGCUUCCAGCCCAAGUGUCACCUUCUAAGGCUCAGGGUUUUGGUCUGUAACAUGAAGAGGUCGGAGCAGAUGAAUUCUUAGUGGCCACAGAAUAGUCUAGCUCUAAUAUUUCGAGUCUAUAAUCACGGGAAGGCUAUGGGAGCUUUAGAACUGAUUUUAUGGUUUUGGAUGUUCUGGCAGCUUCAAUCAUUUCAAGAAGGUUAAAGACUCUGGGAUCUGGACAAGUUUCCUUCCGAGCUACCACCCAAACUAUUCUUGAAAAGAGCCUACAGAAUGAUUUUUCUACCAGGGGGCCUCAAGCUGGCCUCCAGAUAUGCAAACAAUGCAAAGGGAGUGUGAAUCAGAGGACAAGAGCUAAUUGGUGCCCCGGAGUCUGAGCCAAGGACCGGCUUGGGUGUGUGACCCUAAGGGGUGUGACUGAACUUGAAGGUUUAGUCACUUCAGCUAUCAAAAGAAUUAUAUCAAGCUUGAUGCGGAGCUGAAUGUGGAGACUAUUAAUACAUAAUCACCAUAAUGAUAACUCUUUCCUGAGUGCUUAGCCUAUGUCAGAGGCCAUGCUAAGUACUCGAUAGGAAUCUAACUCCAUUUUCGCAACACUCUAAGGUACGUAUUAUUAUUCCCAAGACACAGCUGGCAAAACUGAAGUUUAAAGGCGUAGGUAACUUGCCCUAAAUCCCUCGGCUAUUAAGUGAAGGAUCUGGAUCAGAUCUGGGAUUGAAACCCAGGUCUGUCUGACUCUGAGAUCACUGACUAACUACCCGCUACGCUCUCAGAGCUCCAGCGGACUUUGGAAAAACUUGAGUUCAUUAUGUCUGCUUCUGAGGGACUGCUCGGUAGGAUCACAAUGUUCCCGAUUUAAAGACCUUUGGGAUAAACUUUGCAGAUUUUCUGUAUUCAUUACCCCAUCUCUGACCACGCUAAUGUCUCAGCCAGCGCCCCUCCUCCCCUGUCCCCAGAGGUCUCUGGACCAUGUUAAUCUGUCUGGUUUACAAACUCUCUGGCUCCACAUUCUCUAGCUGUUUCCAUCUGCUGUCCUGUCUAAAUUCUCUGGGAGGCCGCAGGAAAGGAAGAUAGCAAGGUGAGCAGAGGGGCCAAAGCAAGCAGAGGGAUAUCAGAGUAUGUGAUACAAAAGCUCUCCAUGCCACCUACGGGAUCUUUCAAAGUUCAAGUACGCUGCCCUUGGUCACCUUGAUCUAGAGUUUAUGAACUUGAGCUUUGGAGUCAGCUAGAGCUGGGUUCUAGGGGUAGUUUGGAAGUUAAGUUACCUCCUCUCUCCGAGCCUCAGCUCUCUAAUGAAGUAGGAAGAAGUCCAUGAGAGGUUGUUUUUUCCACUCCUGGAGGUCAUGCCUCUGCAGUUUUCAGCACAGCACCUGUCGGUCACGUGGUAAAUGCUCCAGACUGGUAGUUGCUAUGGGUGGUAAGCUCUCAUUGGCUGCCAGCUCAGCUCCUUCUCGCGUAUGCCGUGCAGUGCCAAGCGGCUCAUGUCCUUUCUGGGAGGUUCAAAGGCUUGCCUGCCUCUGAAACUCCCCUCUGAUGCUGUUCCCCUUCCCAGUUUGUGAACAGGAACAGGUCCAGUGAGGCACCUGGCUGGCUCAGUUGGUGAAGCGUGUGACUGUUGAUCUCAGGAUCGUGAGUUCCAGCCUCAUGUUUGGUGAAACCAGUCCCAUGGCUUUGAGAAGACGCAUGAUUGACUAAGCACUGUUAUCUAAGCACCAACUGUAUACAGAACACUAAACUGGGCACGGAGGAACCAUCUUCUUAUGGAGUAGAGCAUCUAGUUGGAGAAAUAAGACCAAUGCUCAUGAAAGAAGUAGGCUUUAAGAAUACAAGACUGGGGCGCCUGGGUGGCUCAGUCGGUUAAGGGUUCGACUUCGGCUCAGGUCACGAUCUCGCGGUUUGUGAGUUCGAGCCCCUCGUCGGGCUCUGUGCCAGCAGCUCAGAGCCUGGAGCCUGCUUCGGAUUCUGUGUCUCCCUCUCUCUCUGUCCCUCCCCCGCUCAUGCUCUGUCUCUCUCUGUCUCAAAAAUAAAUAAAACAUUUAAAAAAAAAAAGAAUACAAGACUGUGCAUAACUCAGUGUUUUGCUGGGACAGCAAAUGCUAAAGUUGGUUAAGACUCAACUAAUGGCUCAUCCAAAUCCCUGACAGAUCAUUAUCAGAGGCUCUGGGGACCCCAGGAACCUCAUACUUAGUUAUAAGUACAAAUAGCCUGCAAGAGUCAGAAUCAUAUUGCUGGCACGGGCAGUGGCAAUGAUUUGUGUGUGGGCUGUUUUUUCCAUUUCCAGAGGGCAGAGCUCAUGUUUGGGCUGGUAGGGUGUUUCCCACUCAAUAAACAAAAAGUGGCCACAACCGGAUUGGGGCAAAAUGCUGAGGACAAAGAGCACUGAACUAGAGGUCAGGGGACCUGGGUCCUAAUUCCAUCAUGACCAUUGACUCCUUGUAUGACCUUGAACAAGUCUCUUGCCCUUUUGUUUAUGAAAUGAAGAAGGCACAUCAGAUAGAAAUUUUUGAAUUGUGUUUCUUUUAAUUUCUUUUAAUGCGUAUUUACUUUUGAGAGGGAGAGAGAGAGAGAGAGACAGGGUGUGAAUGGGGGAGGGGCAGCGAGAGAGGGAGACAGAAACCCAAGCAGGCUCCAGGCUCUAAGCUGUCAGCACAGAGCACGAUUCAGGGCUCCAACUCACGACCCAUGAGAUCAUGACCUGAGCCGAAGUCAGACGUUCAAUUGACUAAGCCACCCAGCCACCCCUUGAAUUGUGUUUCAUGGUACCCUAAGGUUUCUAGAAAUUCUGGAGCUUGGAGGAAGCUAGUGGGUCAAGGGGAAAGGUGAGUGGUGGUUUGAGACCAUAGGCUAUCCCUCUCCUACCUUUCUAUACCUUCAAACAGAGCAACUCCACUUACAUCUUUUUACAUACGGAGAUUCUAUGGUAGCUUUCUUGGAAAGUCACCUAACUUGUUUCUCUCCACGAUGUUCCUUUUACACAAAGGUCAGCUGAGUCUCAGAGAGGUGAAGUAACUUGGUCAAAGUCAUACCGUGAGUGGCAGGAAUGGUAUUAAAGUCUCCUCUCUUUUUAAUUUAUUUUUAUUUAUUUAUUUUUAAAGUUAAUUUAUUAGUUUGAGAGAGAGAGAGAGAGAGAGAGAAAUAGUUCACACACACGAGUGGGGGAGGGGCAGAGAGCUAGGCAGAGAGAGAAUCCCAGGCAGGCUCCACACUGUCAGCACAGAGCCCAAUAAGGGUCUCAAACUCACACACGAUGAGAUCAUGACCUGAGCCAAAGUCUGACACUCAACUGACUGAGCCACCCAGCUGCCCCUCUUCUCUUUUUUGAAUAUUUAUUUAUUUUUGAGAGAGAGUGAGGGAGAGAGAGUGUCAGUUGGGGAGGGGCAGAGAGAGGGUGGGGGGGGACGGAGGAUCCGAAGCGAGCUCCAUGCUCAGCAGAGAACCCGAUGCAGGGCUGGAAUUCAUGAACUACAAGAUCAUGACCUGAGCUGAAGGCGGAUGCUUAACCAACUGAGCCACCCCAGGUGCCCUUAGAGUCCCUUUUGUGAUGAUGACAAUUAUUUGGUUGUUCUCCCGAAGAUUUGGAACAGGUGUGCCUCCUAAAUUCUGAAAGGGGCACGCUGAAAGCAGGGCAAAGGGUAGGGGCUGAGCACCCAUGAGCAAAUCACAUUUCAGCAGCGGCUCUGACAAAGUCCACCUGAAGUGCCAGCAACAUCCGAUGGAGAAGCUGCCACGAGUCUGGGUCCUUGAUGACUCCCCCCCCUUGGGUCACCAUAGGGGACCCAAGCCAAGGCAAAGAGGCCCACUGGUCCUUCCGAGGCAUCUCUAGAGUGAUUGUCACCUUCUCCACCCUCUGGCUCCCCUAGCCCCUCUCCCCUCCUUUCUUCUGCCUGACAUUCAAACCAGGACUCUGCAUCUUUGCUGCCCCUCAAAGUCCACGUUCAAUCCCCGUCUCUGUCAGUUCUCCUGCGAAGCAUCUCUUGAGUCCUCAUCCUUCCCAUCUCCCCUGCGGCCACCUGGGUCAGCCCACAGCCACUGCCAUAGCUGCCUGACGGGUUCCCCGCUCCCCUGUCUCCCUUCCACUGGAAUCCCCAGACAGCAGCCAGACUGAACUCUUUCUUUCUUUCUUUCUUUCUUUCUUUCUUUCUUUCUUUCUUCUUUCUUUUUUAACGUUUAUUUAUUUUUGAGACAGAGAGAGAGACAGAGCAUGAAUGGGGGAGGGUCAGAGAGAGAGGGAGACACAGAAUCUGAAACAGGCUCCAGGCUCCGAGCUGUCAGCGCAGAGCCCGACGUGGGACUCGAACUCACGGACCAUGAGAUCAUGACCUGAGCCGAAGUCGGAAGCUUAACCGACUGAGCCACCCAGGCGCCCCAGGCUGAACUUUCUAAGAACAAAAUCUAAUCAGGUUACUUUCCUGCAUAAAUCCUGUGACGGUCCCCAGGGUCCUCAAAGUCAAGGCUUAUUCUGACCAGGGCUUACAGACUCCUGCGGACUCCCGCCUGCCUUUCUAGCAAUAUUUCUCACUGUUCACCCCUCAUUUUUGAUUCUCCAGAAAAGCCGAACAACAUGAACUUCUCUGACUAUAUCUCGCUCUUUCCUUCUCUCAGCUACUCUUACUUAUUGCUCUCAAGUCUCGGUUGUUAAGUAUCCUCACUGGCAUGACUACCCCCUCCAUCAUAUUACACUCCCCAAGCUACAUCAUAGUUACUCAUCUGCAUCUCUCACUAGACUCUAAGCUCUGAGAGGGAAGGCGGUUUGGCUGGCCACUGAGUGCAGUGACUUGUCAUAUAAUCAUCACUCCGUAAGAAUGUGUCGAAAGAACAAGUUCUCCUUAGGCCAGCCAUGUCUUCAUGUCACCGGGCCAGUGAAAUAAAAGCUCCUGAGUGGGUGAUGGGGUGAGCUGAGUGGUACCCCACCUAUCUCCUCAUUUCCCUGGGCCCAGCCUUUCCUAAUCCAUUCACAUUUCUCGGCAGGUUGUGCAAGAUUCCUGAAGGGGGUUUCCUGGGCAAAUGCCUAGCCAUUUUGCAUUUAUCAACAACAACCUGGGAGGCUGGAGGCCACAGAGAAGCACCAACUUGUAUGUGAAGUCAGGGUUUUCAGGGACAUCUCCUCUGCCUAGAGCAUACCCAAUUUGGCCCAAGCCAGAAUUUUUCCUAGUAGGGUCCAUCUAAUCUGAUCAAACUAUAAAGAGGGGAGAGGAAAUAAGGUAAUGUAUGUCAUUUUCCAUCAGAAAAUGUCGACACUGCACACAGAAUGGUUAAUCCAGAGUGAAAUAACAAGCAUCUCUUCAAAGCUGAUUUAACGUUUUCUUAAGACACCUCACAUUGUUGCAAAUCUCUCUGUGCUAUAAAGAAGAAAGAAAAAGAAGAAAGAAGGAAAGAAAGAAAGAAAGAAAGAACAGAGGGAAGGAAGGAAGGGAAGAAGGGAGGGAGCAAGGAAGGAAGGAAGGAAGGAGGAAGUGAGGGAGGAGGAAGGGAGGGAGGAAGGAAGGGAGGAAUGAAAGAAAGAGAGAAGGGGGAAGGAGGGAGGAAGGUAGAAAGAAAGAGACAGAAAAAGACAGAAACGAAACAAAACAGCCGUUUGGAUUUGGGAACAAAGAGUCCCAGGACAGUUUCAUUUCCACACCACAGUCACUGCAAAACAAGCCUUUGGAAAAUGCUCUUUCGUUAACAAGCCUAUUUACAUGUCUUCUUGGGUCCUUGCAACAGUGCAAGAACUCCUUGCAUCUUUUGACACCAAGAGCAAAUCCUUUUCCUGCUUUUGAAGUCAUCCUUGGUGGGGGGGGAGGGGAGGGUGGGGGAGGGGUAUUGAGGAGGGCACCUUUUGGGAUCAGCACUGGGUGUUGUAUGGAAACCAAUUUGACAAUAAACUUCAUAUAUUGAAAAAAAAAAGAACAGGCAUUCUUCAAAAAAAAAAAAAUGAAGUCAUCCUUGAUCCCAGCCCCUGCCUUGACCCCCCCGCCCCCCCCCCCUUUUCCAAUUCGGCGUGUCAUGGAGUGUGUGCUAAGAUGUGGGUCCUGGGAACACUCCCAAUUGUGUGGUCGUCGUGGCUUCGGCCAGGGCAUUCUCCACCGUAAUGGGUUUUGGUCUUUCUGCUUUCUUUUAGAGUCUGUCUGCCUUUGGCGUUCUGCACUUUCACGAUGGUGAUUCUAAAAGAACAUUUGGUUUUAUUUCUCUAGUUUGGGGUUCAUUGUAAUUCCUGAAUCUAAACGUUCUCAUCAUCAAUUCUCAGGGAACUUGCCUUCAAACAUCACCUCACCUCAUUCUCUUUUCUCUUCUGGAACGUCUAUUAGCUCAAUGUGAGAUUUUUCAUUUUAUCCUCUGUGUCUUCUGGAAUCUCUUUCACAGUUUCCAUCUCUGGGCUCUCUCUGGAUAAUUUCCUCGAUUUACCUCCAAGUUCACAAAUUCUUUUUUCAGCUCUGUCUCAUCUACUCCGUAGUCUGUUCCUGGAGUUUUAAAUUUUAAUGAGUACUUUUUUUUUUUUUUUAUUUCUAAGAAAAAGUACUACAGAUGGUCCCUGACUUACAAUGGUUCGACUUACGAUUUUUUGACUUUACAAUGGUGCAAAAGCAAUGCACAUUCAGUAGAAACCAUACUAACCAUACUUCUAAUUUGGGUUUGGGAUCUGCCCCCCAGCAAUAUGUGCCGCAAUGCUCUCUCCUGAUGCUGAGCAGAGCCGGAAGUGCAGCUGACAAGGUGAACGGUCACAAGGUGAACAAGAUGAACGGUCACAAGGGUGAACAGCCUACACGAUGACAACCGUUCUGCACCCAGACAGCCGGUCUGCUUUUUGCUUUCAGGAUUCAACAAAUUACAUGAGAUAGUCAACACUGCCUUAUAAAAUAGGCUUUGUGUUCAUGUUUUCCCCCCACUGCUGGCUCAUGUAAGUGUUCUGAGCAUGUUCAAGGUGGGCUAGGCUAUGGGAUGCUCGGUAGGUUAGGUGUAUUAAAUGCAUUUUUGACUACUAUUUUCAACUUACAAUGGGUUUAUUGGGACGUAACCCAAGCGUAAGUCAAGGGAAAUCUUUUUCUUUAAUCUGCCUGAUUUUGUUGACGUUCUAGAUACUUAUGUUUUUGAAGCUUUAUUUUAUGCUACUAGUCAUUUUAACACACUGUUUACAGUCUCUUAGGAUGCUUCUAUAAUCCAAGGUUCUGGAACAUCUAGUGCUAUUGUUUGUUGGAUCUGUGGACUCUUGCUCAUGUUUUUCUAUGAGUGUCUUGUGUGAUUUCAGAUUGUGAGCUCAUCUGCAACAGGGUCUUAACCUGGUGAAACCAGUAUAAUCAAAGCGUUUGCUUCUAACAGAUGACCACUGGUCCAGACCAAAUUUUAUGUUAUUUCUUAGCCUAGGGGUUUCUAGGCUGUUCAGGAACUAUUUAUUCAAACCCCAAAGCCACUAAAGGCUCAUGCCAGUGGUUUUGAAUUCUCAAGGGAGACAUUUUCCCCUCCUGACCUAGAGCUCAGCUCAAGAUAAACAAGAUCUCUUCCCACUUUUCUAAGCUGGAGAUUGACUAUUUCUGGUCUACAAUUUUUUAAACGAUGUUGUCCUUCUAGGGUCGUGGCUUUCUGUGGAUGCCUCAGUGCCAAUACUCCACCUCCCAGGGACUGAACAUCUUGUUUCUUAUCCCUGAACGGUAUUAAAAACUCAAACCCCUGUGUGAAUAAGACCAGCUCUAACAUCAGCACCACUUGUCCACCCCCGUGGUAACUGCAAAGGGCAGCCCAUGCAAUUACUUUUCCAGUUCUCAGUUCCCUGUUGGUUUCUGACUCCUGGAGAGUUUUUGUAUACUCAGCUUUGUCAAUAACAGGUAGCGUUUCUAGUGUGUAAGCACCUGGCAUCAUGCUAAGUGCUUACCCAUACUAACUCAUUUAACUCCUGUAACCCCCCUUCAGAGAUUGAGAUAUUAUUAUCAGGCUCAUUUCAUAUAAGGAAAUUGGGGCCCAGAGAGUAAAGUAACUUGCCCAAGGUCUCGCGGCUGGUAAGUAAAGAAGUUUGGAUUCCAAGUGUAGGCACCCUGGAGGCCUGUGCUCUCACUACUCUUCACUGGUUUCUUAUUUAGAUACUUCGGUGUUUUUGUAAGAGAAACUAGACUCCACGCUGCAGUUUCAUGCUGUUUCUCCCAAAACAUCCAAAUCAAGAAUAACUGUGUGAACAGACAUGCUUUCUGACACAUAGACAGACAUCCUGGCAAUUUUGACGAGCUCGUCUCGUGGAGAAAAGCGCAAGCCUGUACCUCAGAGGAGAAGCCCAAAUCCCAGGCUCCAUCAACAGGCACGCGUACUCGCUCCAAGUAAAUACUUACGGUUACGGAAACUUGGGUACGUCAGACUUGUCAGGGACAUUAGACGCAGCCUUUCUCAAGGGGUGGUCUGUGGGCCAUCUGCACCAGAAUCAACCCAAGGUACUUCCUAAAAAUGCAGAUUACGAGACCCAAUGCCAAACCCACUGAAUCAGAUCUCCUCGGGUUGGGCCCCGGGAAACUACUUAUUAAGAUAAGCUCUCCAUCGGGUUCUAAUUUUAAUGUACGUUGGAGUUUGAGAACGACCACUCAGCACUUGCUUUGGAGCCCACGCUGGGCUCGAGCUCUUCCUCGAUGUAUGACCAUGGCAGGCAGGUGAAAGGCACCUUCUCUUCCUUUUGUGACCUGGUCCCACCACUUAAAGCACAGACACGGAAGCAAGCCCACAGGAGGGGGCCCUCUGCUGGGGUCCCACUGCACCUGGGUUCCUCUUGGCACAACAAGUUCCACUCUACGAUAUACGCAAUAGCCUUGACUGCUUGUUUCUCUCCACAUGUCGUCUGGGAAGAUGGAAGAUGUUCUGCUUUGUCGCCCCAGCGCGCAGCAUGGUACCUGACG
This 18936-nucleotide long non-coding RNA is filed under the name Lynx pardinus (Iberian lynx). The stretch from base 11669 to 11741 matches the Rfam family "tRNA". Lineage: Eukaryota; Metazoa; Chordata; Mammalia; Carnivora; Felidae. The record is from RNAcentral.